Small nuclear RNA from Nomascus leucogenys (northern white-cheeked gibbon), 75 nucleotides. NCBI's taxonomy places the organism in Eukaryota, Metazoa, Chordata, Mammalia, Primates, Hylobatidae. The record is from Ensembl.
NUCAAUACAGAGAAGAUUAGCAUGGCCCCUGCACAAGGAUGACACACAAACUUUUGUGAAACGUUAUAUAUUUAC